CGAUAACGAACGAGACCUUGAUCUGCUAACUAGCGACGCCUAUCCUUGAUAGAUGGCACGCUUCUUAGAGAGACUGUACGUGUUGCAACGUACGGAAGCUCGAGGCAAUAACAGGUCUGUGAUGCCCUUGGAUGUUCUGGGCCGCACGCGCGCUACAAUGUCACGGCCAGCGAGUCAGCUGCUUCGGCGGCGUUACCUUGGCUGAUAAGCCUGGGGAAUCUUGUCAGACCGUGACGUGCUGGGAUAGUCCUUUGCAAUUAUCGGACUUGAACGAGGAAUUCCUUGUAAGCGCAAGUCAUCAGCUUGCGCUGAAUCUGUCCCUGCCUUUGUACACACCGCCGUCGCUACUACCGAUUGAAUGGCUA
Molecule: ribosomal RNA, 365 nt
Filed under: uncultured eukaryote
Lineage: Eukaryota
Description: SSU rRNA
Rfam family: Eukaryotic small subunit ribosomal RNA
Source: RNAcentral